RNAcentral lists this long non-coding RNA (227 nucleotides) under Mytilus galloprovincialis (Mediterranean mussel). Lineage: Eukaryota; Metazoa; Mollusca; Bivalvia; Mytilida; Mytilidae. The record is from RNAcentral.
GGCUGACAAAUACCUUCUGUGGGAUGACAAACAUACAGUUUACUCUACAGGACUCUCAUUCAUUGUUUAACACGUUAGUUGUGGUAUUCAAAAUAGAACUGUCAAUGACAGUAGAAAAAUCAAUUUAGAUUUACAGCAACAAGUUUAAGUUGGAUUGACAACCUAGAAAUCGGCAUUUAACAGAAUUGUGCAAUCGGCCAACAAAAAAAUGUAAGUUAAGUAUAUUG